This 323-nucleotide unclassified non-coding RNA is filed under the name soil metagenome. RNAcentral describes it as "partial contains 5.8S ribosomal RNA, internal transcribed spacer 2, and large subunit ribosomal RNA". The stretch from base 1 to 120 matches the Rfam family "5.8S ribosomal RNA", at positions 35 to 154 of the family's 154-position model. The record is from RNAcentral.
GAUGAAGAACGUAGCGAAAUGCGAUAAGUAGUGCGAAUUGCAGAAUUCAGUGAAUCAUCGAAUCUUUGAACGCACAUUGCGCCCCUUGGUAUUCCAUGGGGCAUGCCUGUUCGAGCGUCAUUUGUACCUUCAAGCUUUGCUUGGUGUUGGGUGUUUGUCCUGAGGGACUCGCCUUAAAGUAAUUGGCAGCCAGUGUUUGGUUUUGAAGCGCAGCACAAGUCGCGAUUCAAAGCUAUACGCCCGCUUCCACAAGCCUUUUUCACUUUUGACCUCGGAUCAGGUAGGGAUACCCGCUGAACUUAAGCAUAUCAAUAAGCGGAGGA